This is a long non-coding RNA of Macrobrachium nipponense, 1000 nucleotides long. RefSeq lists it as uncharacterized. NCBI's taxonomy places the organism in Eukaryota, Metazoa, Arthropoda, Malacostraca, Decapoda, Palaemonidae. The record is from RefSeq and is a predicted model, not a curated record. The transcript has 3 exons.
UUGGCAACAUAACUCGCGUGUCGUCUGCGGCAAAAUCAAGGUGUCUCGCCUGAUGGGUUCCGAGUGUAAAAUUGUAAACGGGAGGGAAUUACUAACUUCAUUUUAACUCUGUAAACCAUUUAUAAGCUUACGAUUCUUGCUGGUAACCGAGAGAUGGCUUCUCUUCAGGACACACACUGAUUCGUUUCCAGUCGUUUCAGUGCUUCCAUAAAGACAAUUCGAUAUAGCUCAUUGUCUUUCGAUAAAUCAGUCUAGUCCUAAGUCACUACCUUCACGAUGAGACAGAAGUCAGCUGCUGAAACUGAACUUUCCUCUCAAAAGAAAUAUGCAUCAAACUCUUCUAUCAACGGUGGGAAAAUUCAGCGCUGAAGAAUUUUGGUAAAGAUUAUGGAUUGGGAAAGAUAGGAGGGAGGCAUGUUAGUUUGCAUUUUAAGUGUAUUUUGUUAAGUUUCAUAUCUUGGAAUAUGAAAUUGAGAGUUGACUUUUGCUCUGCUGAUUAUUAUGAUAGCAAAGUAAGUAUGUAUAUGUUUUCUAAGGAUAGAUGCAAUAUAAUGAAUUCUGACUCAUUCCUAGAAUAUCAAUUGAAAAGUGAAUUUUAAGAUCCAUGAUCACUUUCUCCAGCCAAUCUUAAAGGCCAUGAUUUAGGUGGCUGUGUUUCACCUAGGAAUGAUGGUUCAUUGUUUGUAGAUCCUGACAUGGAAAUCAAGGUAGAGUUGGAAACAUUCAAAAGUGAGUGAAGAUGAUAUUAAAUAUUUAUAUGAAGUUUGUAAGCAAGGUUAAAGAUUUUAUUCAUUUACUGUAUACAGUAUAAUAUAACUUGAAAAUUUUAUUCAUUACAUGUCUAUGUAUUGGUUGAUUUUAAGCCAUUAGUUGUGAUAAUACUGUGCUUUAGAAUAAUCAUUAAAAUAUUUUUAUAUACUAUUCCUGUUUCAUUUUUUCAGUUGCUUUUUUUUAAAUUUCCACCUCUAAGUUUAUUUACUAAAUACACUGCACUACUGAG